UUAUAAGAGACAGCAGCAGCCGCGGUAAUACAGAGGGUGCGAGCGUUAAUCGGAUUUACUGGGCGUAAAGCGUGCGUAGGCGGCUUCUUAAGUCGGAUGUGAAAUCCCUGAGCUUAACUUAGGAAUUGCAUUCGAUACUGGGAAGCUAGAGUAUGGGAGAGGAUGGUAGAAUUCCAGGUGUAGCGGUGAAAUGCGUAGAGAUCUGGAGGAAUACCGAUGGCGAAGGCAGCCAUCUGGCCUAAUACUGACGCUGAGGUACGAAAGCAUGGGGAGCAAACAGGAUUAGAUACCCCAGUAGUCCCUGUCUCUUAUAA
RNAcentral lists this ribosomal RNA (314 nucleotides) under uncultured bacterium. Its description in RNAcentral is "partial 16S ribosomal RNA". It matches the Rfam family "Bacterial small subunit ribosomal RNA", at positions 499 to 809 of the family's 1533-position model. The record is from RNAcentral.